This 350-nucleotide ribosomal RNA is filed under the name uncultured bacterium. RNAcentral describes it as "bacterial SSU rRNA". It matches the Rfam family "Bacterial small subunit ribosomal RNA", at positions 917 to 1269 of the family's 1533-position model. The record is from RNAcentral.
GGACCCGCACAAGCGGUGGAGCAUGUGGUUUAAUUCGAUGCAACGCGAAAACCUUACCUACUCUUGACAUACUUGGAAGCUCUUGUAAUGAGAGUGUGCCUUUUGGAACCAAGAUACAGGUGCUGCAUGGCUGUCGUCAGCUCGUGUCGUGAGAUGUUCCGUUAAGUCGGAUAACGAGCGCAACCCUUACCCUUAUUUGCCAGCGAUUCGGUCGGGAACUAUAAGGAGACUGCCGGUGAUAAACCGGAGGAAGGCGGGGACGACGUCAAGUCAUCAUGGCCCUUACGACCAGGGCUACACACGUGCUACAAUGGGACGUACAAAGGGAAGCGAACCCGCGAGGGCAAGCA